RNAcentral lists this ribosomal RNA (486 nucleotides) under uncultured bacterium. RNAcentral's name for it is "partial 16S ribosomal RNA". It matches the Rfam family "Bacterial small subunit ribosomal RNA", at positions 28 to 523 of the family's 1533-position model. The record is from RNAcentral.
GAUGAACGCUAGCGGCAGGCCUAAUACAUGCAAGUCAAGGGGCCCAGCAAUGGGCACCGGCGGACGGGUGCGUAACGCGUACACAACAUACCUUUAAGUGGGGGAUAGCAUUGGGAAACUGGUGGUAAUACCCCAUAAUAAUAUUGGGAGGCAUUUCCUGAUAUUUAAAGCUCCGGCGCUUAGAGAUUGGUGUGCGUCCGAUUAGCUAGUUGGUGGGGUAACGGCUCACCAAGGCGACGAUCGGUAGGGGGUGUGAGAGCAUGACCCCCCACACGGGUACUGAGACACGGACCCGACUCCUACGGGAGGCAGCAGUAAGGAAUAUUGGACAAUGGAGGGAACUCUGAUCCAGCCAUGCCGCGUGAAGGAUGAAGGCGCUCAGCGUUGUAAACUUCUUUUGGAUGGGAACAAUAACUUCUACGUGUAGGAGCUUGAGGGUACCAUCAGAAUAAGCACCGGCUAACUCCGUGCCAGCCGCCGCGGUAA